Molecule: ribosomal RNA, 471 nt
Filed under: Veillonella dispar
Lineage: Bacteria; Bacillati; Bacillota; Negativicutes; Veillonellales; Veillonellaceae
Description: bacterial SSU rRNA
Rfam family: Bacterial small subunit ribosomal RNA
Source: RNAcentral
GACGAACGCUGGCGGCGUGCUUAACACAUGCAAGUCGAACGAAGAGCGAUGGAAGCUUGCUUCUAUCAAUCUUAGUGGCGAACGGGUGAGUAACGCGUAAUCAACCUGCCCUUCAGAGGGGGACAACAGUUGGAAACGACUGCUAAUACCGCAUACGAUCUGACCUCGGCAUCGAGGAUAGAUGAAAGGUGGCCUCUAUUUAUAAGCUAUCACUGAAGGAGGGGAUUGCGUCUGAUUAGCUAGUUGGAGGGGUAACGGCCCACCAAGGCGAUGAUCAGUAGCCGGUCUGAGAGGAUGAACGGCCACAUUGGGACUGAGACACGGCCCAGACUCCUACGGGAGGCAGCAGUGGGGAAUCUUCCGCAAUGGACGAAAGUUUGACGGAGCAACGCCGCGUGAGUGAUGACGGCCUUCGGGUUGUAAAGCUCUGUUAAUCGGGACGAAAGGCCUUCUUGCGAAUAGUUAGAAGGA